AGUGAACGCUGGCGGUAGGCCUAACACAUGCAAGUCGAACGGCAGCACAGUAAGAGCUUGCUCUUACGGGUGGCGAGUGGCGGACGGGUGAGGAAUACAUCGGAAUCUACUUUUUCGUGGGGGAUAACGUAGGGAAACUUACGCUAAUACCGCAUACGACCUACGGGUGAAAGCAGGGGAUCUUCGGACCUUGCGCGAUUGAAUGAGCCGAUGUCGGAUUAGCUAGUUGGCGGGGUAAAGGCCCAACAAGGCGACGAUCCGUAGCUGGUCUGAGAGGCUGAUCAGCCACACUGGAACUGAGACACGGUCCAGACUCCUACGGGAGGCAGCAGUGGGGAAUAUUGGGCAAUGGGCGCAAGCCUGAUCCAGCAAUACCGCGUGAGUGAAGAAGGCCUUCGGGUUGUAAAGCCCUUUUGUUGGGAAAGAAAAGCAGCAGGUUAAUACCCCGCUGUUCUGACGGUACCCAAAGAAUAAGCACCGGCUAACUUCGUG
RNAcentral lists this ribosomal RNA (492 nucleotides) under uncultured bacterium. RNAcentral describes it as "partial 16S ribosomal RNA". It matches the Rfam family "Bacterial small subunit ribosomal RNA", at positions 29 to 507 of the family's 1533-position model. The record is from RNAcentral.